Molecule: ribosomal RNA, 253 nt
Filed under: uncultured bacterium
Lineage: Bacteria
Description: partial 16S ribosomal RNA
Rfam family: Bacterial small subunit ribosomal RNA
Source: RNAcentral
UACGGGGGGGGCAAGCGUUGUUCGGAAUUACUGGGCGUAAAGGGCUCGUAGGUGGCCAACUAAGUCAGACGUGAAAUCCCUCAGCUUAACUGGGGAACUGCGUCUGAUACUGGAUGGCUUGAGUUUGGGAGAGGGAUGCGGAAUUCCAGGUGUAGCGGUGAAAUGCGUAGAUAUCUGGAGGAACACCGGUGGCGAAGGCGGCAUCCUGGACCGGUAUUGACGCUGAGGCGCGAAAGCCAGGGGAGCAAACAGG